This 776-nucleotide ribosomal RNA is filed under the name uncultured Neocallimastigales. Its description in RNAcentral is "partial large subunit ribosomal RNA". It matches the Rfam family "Eukaryotic large subunit ribosomal RNA", at positions 24 to 634 of the family's 3401-position model. The record is from RNAcentral. Lineage: Eukaryota; Fungi; Neocallimastigomycota; Neocallimastigomycetes; Neocallimastigales.
GCGCAUCUGUGCAUGCAGCAUAUCAAUAAGCGGAGGAAAAGAAACUAACAAGGAUUCCCUUAGUAACGGCGAGUGAAGCGGGAAGAGCUCAAAUUUGAAAUCUUCAGGGUUUUACCUUGACGAAUUGUAGUUUAAAGAAGUGUUUUCUGCUGAAGUUUUGGUAAAAGUUCUUUGGAAUAGGACAUCAUAGAGGGUGAGAAUCCCGUAUUUGACCAUUAUUUUCAGCUUUGUGAUACACUUUCAAAGAGUCGGAUUGUUUGGGAAUGCAGUCCAAAAUGGGUGGUAAAUUUCAUCUAAAGCUAAAUAUUGGCGAGAGACCGAUAGCGAACAAGUACCGUGAGGGAAUGAUGAAAAGAACUUUGAAAAGAGAGUUAAACAGUACGUGAAAUUGUCAAAAGGGAAGCGUUUGACACCAGUGUUGUUUUCUCGAAAAUCAAUUAAAAAUGGCUCGAUUUUGUAUUGCUGAGACCUUAAAAGCUCACUGUACAUUUUUCGUGUCUUUUUUAAUGCACUUUUCGUUUAACAAGUCAACAUCAGUUUCUUUUGUUGUAAAAGGGUCAUUGGAAGGUGGCUUUCUUUUCGGAGAAAGUGUUUAUAGCCUUUGGCCUCUGCAAUCGGAAGAGACUGAGGUCUGCAGCGUAGACUCUUCGGGGUUAGAUACAUUUGUGCUAAGUUAUAGCUUUUUAUAGACAACUUGUUGACUAUAAUUAGUCUUGUAGCUUACUCGCUUAUGCUAUUUUACCUACGCUUAGGAUGUUGACGCAUGAGAUAUACGC